RNAcentral lists this ribosomal RNA (497 nucleotides) under uncultured bacterium. RNAcentral's name for it is "partial 16S ribosomal RNA". It matches the Rfam family "Bacterial small subunit ribosomal RNA", at positions 28 to 507 of the family's 1533-position model. The record is from RNAcentral.
GAUGAACGCUGGCGGCGUGCCUAAUACAUGCAAGUCGAGCGAACAGACGAGGAGCUUGCUCCUCUGACGUUAGCGGCGGACGGGUGAGUAACACGUGGAUAACCUACCUAUAAGACUGGGAUAACUUCGGGAAACCGGAGCUAAUACCGGAUAAUAUAUUGAACCGCAUGGUUCAAUAGUGAAAGACGGUUUUGCUGUCACUUAUAGAUGGAUCCGCGGCGCAUUAGCUAGUUGGUAAGGUAACGGCUUACCAAGGCAACGAUGCGUAGCCGACCUGAGAGGGUGAUCGGCCACACUGGAACUGAGACACGGUCCAGACUCCUACGGGAGGCAGCAGUAGGGAAUAUUCCGCAAUGGGCGAAAGCCUGACGGAGCAACGCCGCGUGAGUGAUGAAGGUCUUCGGAUCGUAAAACUCUGUUAUUAGGGAAGAACAAAUGUGUAAGUAACUAUGCACGUCUUGACGGUACCUAAUCAGAAAGCCACGGCUAACUACGUG